AGCGUACACGGUGGAUGCCCUGGCAGUCAGAGGCGAUGAAGGACGUGCUAAUCUGCGAUAAGCGUCGGUGAGGUGAUAUGAACCGUUAUAACCGGCGAUUUCCGAAUGGGGAAACCCAGUGUGUUUCGACACACUAUCAUUAACUGAAUCCAUAGGUUAAUGAGGCGAACCGGGGGAACUGAAACAUCUAAGUACCCCGAGGAAAAGAAAUCAACCGAGAUUCCCCCAGUAGCGGCGAGCGAACGGGGAGGAGCCCAGAGCCUGAAUCAGUGUGUGUGUUAGUGGAAGCGUCUGGAAAGGCGCGCGAUACAGGGUGACAGCCCCGUACACAAAAAUGCACAUAUUGUGAGCUCGAUGAGUAGGGCGGGACACGUGGUAUCCUGUCUGAAUAUGGGGGGACCAUCCUCCAAGGCUAAAUACUCCUGACUGACCGAUAGUGAACCAGUACCGUGAGGGAAAGGCGAAAAGAACCCCGGCGAGGGGAGUGAAAAAGAACCUGAAACCGUGUACGUACAAGCAGUGGGAGCCUCUUAAUGGGGUGACUGCGUACCUUUUGUAUAAUGGGUCAGCGACUUAUAUUCUGUAGCAAGGUUAACCGAAUAGGGGAGCCGAAGGGAAACCGAGUCUUAACUGGGCGUUAAGUUGCAGGGUAUAGACCCGAAACCCGGUGAUCUAGCCAUGGGCAGGUUGAAGGUUGGGUAACACUAACUGGAGGACCGAACCGACUAAUGUUGAAAAAUUAGCGGAUGACUUGUGGCUGGGGGUGAAAGGCCAAUCAAACCGGGAGAUAGCUGGUUCUCCCCGAAAGCUAUUUAGGUAGCGCCUCGUGAAUUCAUCUCCGGGGGUAGAGCACUGUUUCGGCAAGGGGGUCAUCCCGACUUACCAACCCGAUGCAAACUGCGAAUACCGGAGAAUGUUAUCACGGGAGACACACGGCGGGUGCUAACGUCCGUCGUGAAGAGGGAAACAACCCAGACCGCCAGCUAAGGUCCCAAAGUCAUGGUUAAGUGGGAAACGAUGUGGGAAGGCCCAGACAGCCAGGAUGUUGGCUUAGAAGCAGCCAUCAUUUAAAGAAAGCGUAAUAGCUCACUGGUCGAGUCGGCCUGCGCGGAAGAUGUAACGGGGCUAAACCAUGCACCGAAGCUGCGGCAGCGACGCUUAUGCGUUGUUGGGUAGGGGAGCGUUCUGUAAGCCUGUGAAGGUGGCCUGUGAGGGUUGCUGGAGGUAUCAGAAGUGCGAAUGCUGACAUAAGUAACGAUAAAGCGGGUGAAAAGCCCGCUCGCCGGAAGACCAAGGGUUCCUGUCCAACGUUAAUCGGGGCAGGGUGAGUCGACCCCUAAGGCGAGGCCGAAAGGCGUAGUCGAUGGGAAACAGGUUAAUAUUCCUGUACUUGGUGUUACUGCGAAGGGGGGACGGAGAAGGCUAUGUUGGCCGGGCGACGGUUGUCCCGGUUUAAGCGUGUAGGCUGGUUUUCCAGGCAAAUCCGGAAAACCAAGGCUGAGGCGUGAUGACGAGGCACUACGGUGCUGAAGCGACAAAUGCCCUGCUUCCAGGAAAAGCCUCUAAGCAUCAGGUAACAUCAAAUCGUACCCCAAACCGACACAGGUGGUCAGGUAGAGAAUACCAAGGCGCUUGAGAGAACUCGGGUGAAGGAACUAGGCAAAAUGGUGCCGUAACUUCGGGAGAAGGCACGCUGAUAUGUAGGUGAAGCGACUUGCUCGUGGAGCUGAAAUCAGUCGAAGAUACCAGCUGGCUGCAACUGUUUAUUAAAAACACAGCACUGUGCAAACACGAAAGUGGACGUAUACGGUGUGACGCCUGCCCGGUGCCGGAAGGUUAAUUGAUGGGGUUAGCGGUAACGCGAAGCUCUUGAUCGAAGCCCCGGUAAACGGCGGCCGUAACUAUAACGGUCCUAAGGUAGCGAAAUUCCUUGUCGGGUAAGUUCCGACCUGCACGAAUGGCGUAAUGAUGGCCAGGCUGUCUCCACCCGAGACUCAGUGAAAUUGAACUCGCUGUGAAGAUGCAGUGUACCCGCGGCAAGACGGAAAGACCCCGUGAACCUUUACUAUAGCUUGACACUGAACAUUGAGCCUUGAUGUGUAGGAUAGGUGGGAGGCUUUGAAGUGUGGACGCCAGUCUGCAUGGAGCCGACCUUGAAAUACCACCCUUUAAUGUUUGAUGUUCUAACGUUGGCCCGUAAUCCGGGUUGCGGACAGUGUCUGGUGGGUAGUUUGACUGGGGCGGUCUCCUCCUAAAGAGUAACGGAGGAGCACGAAGGUUGGCUAAUCCUGGUCGGACAUCAGGAGGUUAGUGCAAUGGCAUAAGCCAGCUUGACUGCGAGCGUGACGGCGCGAGCAGGUGCGAAAGCAGGUCAUAGUGAUCCGGUGGUUCUGAAUGGAAGGGCCAUCGCUCAACGGAUAAAAGGUACUCCGGGGAUAACAGGCUGAUACCGCCCAAGAGUUCAUAUCGACGGCGGUGUUUGGCACCUCGAUGUCGGCUCAUCACAUCCUGGGGCUGAAGUAGGUCCCAAGGGUAUGGCUGUUCGCCAUUUAAAGUGGUACGCGAGCUGGGUUUAGAACGUCGUGAGACAGUUCGGUCCCUAUCUGCCGUGGGCGCUGGAGAACUGAGGGGGGCUGCUCCUAGUACGAGAGGACCGGAGUGGACGCAUCACUGGUGUUCGGGUUGUCAUGCCAAUGGCACUGCCCGGUAGCUAAAUGCGGAAGAGAUAAGUGCUGAAAGCAUCUAAGCACGAAACUUGCCCCGAGAUGAGUUCU
This 2774-nucleotide ribosomal RNA is filed under the name Escherichia coli. RNAcentral describes it as "bacterial LSU rRNA". It matches the Rfam family "Bacterial large subunit ribosomal RNA". The record is from RNAcentral. Lineage: Bacteria; Pseudomonadati; Pseudomonadota; Gammaproteobacteria; Enterobacterales; Enterobacteriaceae.